GCGGCCCCCGCCGGGCCGGUCCCGGGAGCGGGAAGCGGGAGCGGGAGCGCCGGGGAAGGGUUGGGCAUCAUGGCAGAGGGGUCUCCAGGUCUUUCCCAGCCGCGGCCUCAGCAGCAGCGGGGAAACCCGAGAUAAAUGCGGGAGCGCGGUGCUGGCGAGAUUAAAGCGAGGAACGAAUGGGAUGCCGGGCAUCCCUCGGCGAACAGCGGCGCGGCGGCUUUGGGGUGAAUCCUGGCAAACACGAGCCGUGCGGCAGCGACUGACGCGCUCCCAAAAAUCACACGUUAACCUGCUGGCUGUAACUCUGGUUAGAACUGAAAUAAUCGAUUGCCAGGAUCGAUAAAAAUCCAUAUUUUUCCCACUGACAGGGCUGCCCGAGCUGGCUCUCUCUUCACAAAGGGCGCUCCAAGCGAGGGAAGGGCCGAGUCUGGCUCAGCAGGAAUCAGGACCCUUUCCGUCCCCUCGUAACACCUCUCUCCCGUUCUCCGACUGGCUUUGUCCAGUCUGGAGGUCUGAGAGCAGAUCCCAGUGGCCGAAUGUCCAUCUCGUCUUCCCUGUGUGUGCAUGACAGGACGUACAGCACUUUCCUCGAUAACGGGUGGGCUCACACUGCAGGACCUGCCGUGGCCUCCCGUCCCCUGGUGCGAGUGACAGAGGCACCGAAGCGGUGCUUUGGGAAAUGCCGCUCCCUCCUCCAGCUCAGGAGCGAGGAGGAGCUGGACUCGGCUCUUACUGCUGCCCCCAAAGAUGCUCCCCACCUUGUCCCCGGUGCUUGUGACCAUCUUUCCCCAAAGUGCCAGUGUAAAGUAAAACCUGGAGCCGUGUCGUAUCCUUGUGUGCCACACCCACUGAAAUGCUGCUUACACACACACACAUAAAGCGUUGGCUAAAUCAGGGGGUUUGAGCUGCUGUCUCGCUGAAAAGGUCGUUACUACAGACACCGAAAUGGUAGCACUAUUCUAAUGCAUUGCGAAGACAAGCUGCUGUACCAGAAGGGCAGCAGGACUUCAGAGAGCACAAACGCUGUUCUAACACAACCUGAUGUAUUUUAUGGUAGCCAAUUAAAAUAUAUUAGGUUGAAAUAUGCAAGUGCAAACAUCCUUAUCUUUGUUUUGCUUCAGCUGUGAACAUGAAAACAUACAACCUCUAAAUGUAAUAAUCCCGGUGAUAGAUUUGAGAUUUAUAUUUCACCUUUCAUGCUGGGGCUGUUGGCGUGGAAAAGUCUUUCAAGUUCAGUUCAAUAUCAGCAGUGCUGCAACUGCUAAAUAAACACAACUUCAAUUUACUGUGCAGACACAGGAAAAACACGAUGAGAGUUGGAAUUACCAGACCCUGGUGUUACGGGGGAAAGGAACUUCGGGCAUGAAUUCAGCUGAGGGUCUCUCCUCUAGAGAGCUAUGCAGUAUUAAACACCACAUGAACACAGAAAUAAGCAAAAUAAUCUGGUUAAUAUUAGUUAAUAUUCCAGUGGAUUUUAAUUGAUUAUCUGACAGGCUAUACUCUCCUAAGAGAGGAGCCUGGGGUUUCCUAUGACCUGUGGCCUGCAGCGCAGUCAACAAAAAGACUGCCCAAGUACAUAGACUAAGCAGUUCGCCAAGUUUAGAAAUUUCUCUCUAAUAGCCACAGUAAUGAAAAGGAUAAUUAUCAGCAAUUCCUGCUAUGUGAUGGGAAAGUGCGAUGGUAGUGAAAAAUGCGCACAGACCCUGGAAAAUAACACCCACGCUGAGAACUAAACACUGGGACAAAUCUCCCUGAUCUCUGAAGGAAAAGGCAACAGAGCUGAUGGAGACUUCAUAGCUCUUUGCCUUUGAGUUAAAUACAUGAAAAGAAGUGAUGAGGUUGGGUAGAGACUACUAAUAGAAAGAAGACAACACAAGCCUCACAGUCAUUUAGUCUCUCCCAUAAAGACAAGCUGCCUGACAAGCAAGUAGGAAUUAGGACAGUCUCCCAACUCUGUGCUAUAUUCUUAUCAUUCCUAUAUGCUGAAGGCCCUUGGAUGUGGGUAUUCCUUUGUGAUAUAAUGAGACCUCUCUCUCCAGAAGACACAAUCAUUUUGGUAAAUGAACACAAUUUCUGUUACCCCCCUCUGGGGGAAUUCUACAUGACUCCAGCUCAGAUCUUCGUUUUAUCUUAUUUUUAAGUGGUUUGCAUGCCU
This is a long non-coding RNA of Chiroxiphia lanceolata (lance-tailed manakin), 2155 nucleotides long. RefSeq lists it as uncharacterized. The transcript is spliced from 4 exons. The record is from RefSeq and is a predicted model, not a curated record. Lineage: Eukaryota; Metazoa; Chordata; Aves; Passeriformes; Pipridae.